RNAcentral lists this unclassified non-coding RNA (241 nucleotides) under Hevea brasiliensis (rubber tree). Lineage: Eukaryota; Viridiplantae; Streptophyta; Magnoliopsida; Malpighiales; Euphorbiaceae. The record is from RNAcentral.
CGUAUAUUGAAUUCAAUAGAUGUGAAGCCAUAAGAAGGAGAGGGAGGAGGAGAACAAGUGGAGGAGGCAACUGGUGGCAGAUUAAAAGUACCAUCACCAUCGGCACCUUGCUUUCUCAAGCCAGCAAGAAGACGCUUUCUUGGAGGUAAGAGAACAUCGGAAUUGAGGUGAUUCACGUCACAGAUGUUGGCCUCCAUUCUUCUCCUUCCAAAUUAUAGCUUUGAACAUAAAUCGCUAAUUG